GACGAACGCUGGCGGCGUGCUUAACACAUGCAAGUCGAACGGAAAGGCCCUGCUUUGGUGGGGUGCUCGAGUGGCGAACGGGUGAGUAACACGUGAGUAACCUGCCCUUGACUUGGGGAUAACUUCAGGAAACUGGGGCUAAUACCGGAUAGGAGCUCCUGCUGCAUGGUGGGGGUUGGAAAGUUUCGGCGGUUGGGGAUGGACUCGCGGCUUAUCAGCUUGUUGGUGGGGUAGUGGCUUACCAAGGCUUUGACGGGUAGCCGGCCUGAGAGGGUGACCGGCCACAUUGGGACUGAGAUACGGCCCAGACUCCUACGGGAGGCAGCAGUGGGGAAUAUUGCACAAUGGGCGGAAGCCUGAUGCAGCAACGCCGCGUGCGGGAUGACGGCCUUCGGGUUGUAAACCGCUUUCGCCUGUGACGAAGCGUGAGUGACGGUAAUGGGUAAAGAAGCACCGGCUAACUACGUG
Molecule: ribosomal RNA, 468 nt
Filed under: uncultured bacterium
Lineage: Bacteria
Description: partial 16S ribosomal RNA
Rfam family: Bacterial small subunit ribosomal RNA
Source: RNAcentral